RNAcentral lists this non-coding RNA (25 nucleotides) under Mus musculus (house mouse). Lineage: Eukaryota; Metazoa; Chordata; Mammalia; Rodentia; Muridae. The record is from RNAcentral.
UAACGAGCCAAGACAAAGUUCUCUG